RNAcentral lists this non-coding RNA (103 nucleotides) under Desulforapulum autotrophicum. Its description in RNAcentral is "Desulfobacterium autotrophicum TPP sequence". It matches the Rfam family "TPP riboswitch aptamer (THI element)". From Rfam's summary of the family: Vitamin B(1) in its active form thiamin pyrophosphate (TPP) is an essential coenzyme that is synthesised by coupling of pyrimidine and thiazole moieties in bacteria. The previously detected thiamin-regulatory element, thi box was extended, resulting in a new, highly conserved RNA secondary structure, the THI element, which is widely distributed in eubacteria and also occurs in some archaea. Analysis of operon structures identified a large number of new candidate thiamin-regulated genes, mostly transporters, in various prokaryotic organisms. RNAcentral also lists the same sequence under 1 other name. Lineage: Bacteria; Pseudomonadati; Thermodesulfobacteriota; Desulfobacteria; Desulfobacterales; Desulfobacteraceae. The record is from RNAcentral.
UUAUAGAUAGGCGGGAGCAAGCUGUUUGCUGAGAGGGGAAUCAUUCCCGACCGCAUGACCUGAUCCGGGUAAUGCCGGCGUAGGAACCGAAGACAUUAGUCAG